UACGAAGGGGGCUAGCGUUGCUCGGAAUGACUGGGCGUAAAGGGCGCGUAGGCGGUUUGGACAGUCAGAUGUGAAAUUCCUGGGCUCAACCUGGGGGCUGCAUUUGAUACGUUCGGACUAGAGUGGGGAAGAGGGUCGUGGAAUUCCACGUGUAGCAGUGAAAUGCGUAGAGAUGUGGAGGAACACCGAUGGCGAAGGCAGCCCCCUGGGUCAACACUGACGCUCAUGCACGAAAGCGUGGGGAGCAAACAGG
This 253-nucleotide ribosomal RNA is filed under the name uncultured bacterium. RNAcentral's name for it is "partial 16S ribosomal RNA". It matches the Rfam family "Bacterial small subunit ribosomal RNA", at positions 524 to 776 of the family's 1533-position model. The record is from RNAcentral.